Molecule: ribosomal RNA, 96 nt
Filed under: uncultured bacterium
Lineage: Bacteria
Description: partial 16S ribosomal RNA
Rfam family: Bacterial small subunit ribosomal RNA
Source: RNAcentral
CGCCGCGUGGGCGAUGAAGGCCUUCGGGUCGUAAAGCCCUUUUGCAGGGGAAGAUGAUGACGGUACCCUGCGAAUAAGCCACGGCUAACUACGUGC